This 64-nucleotide transfer RNA is filed under the name Cavia porcellus (domestic guinea pig). It matches the Rfam family "tRNA". From Rfam's summary of the family: Transfer RNA (tRNA) molecules are approximately 80 nucleotides in length. Their secondary structure includes four short double-helical elements and three loops (D, anti-codon, and T loops). The record is from Rfam by way of RNAcentral. Lineage: Eukaryota; Metazoa; Chordata; Mammalia; Rodentia; Caviidae.
GGGGAUUUAGCUCAGUGGCAUAAGCACCUGCCUUGCAAGCAGGCAGUCGCCAGUUCAAUCCCUG